Cataglyphis hispanica is the source of this 2559-nucleotide RNA transcript. It is a transcript of the gene named X-ray repair cross-complementing protein 5-like, with no coding region annotated. The transcript is spliced from 14 exons. Lineage: Eukaryota; Metazoa; Arthropoda; Insecta; Hymenoptera; Formicidae. The record is from RefSeq and is a predicted model, not a curated record.
ACUUGCUUCGGCAGUACAUAUACUAAAAUUGGAACGAUACAGAGAAGAUUAGCAUGGCCCCUGCGCAAGGAUGACACGCAAAAUCGUGAAGCGUUCCACAUUUUUUGCUUCCGACGUUCCGAUUAGUAUAAUUACCGAUAUAAUUGUGUGUAUCGUAUAUCGUACAAAAAAUGUGCAAGAAGUAGCGAUUCCGGAAAUAAUUUAAUUAAUGCGCUGGAUAUUUUGUUCCAUAUUAAUAUAAUAAAAAAAAAAAUUUAUUGCAGAUAAUUUUUAUUUUAUUAAAGAAAAUUUAUAUUUUAUUUGCAUAUAAAUAUAUAAGUUGCCGGCAUAAGUUGCCGUAUUUCAUAAUUAAUGGAUUGCCUCUGAUCUACAAUUAUGGAUGUAUAGUACACCAGAUAGCACGGAUGCAUAGAUCAAAGAUUUUCAGUUGAAAAGUAGAUUUGACUAUGUAAGUUCAUCAGAUCUACAAUAAAUGCAGAGGCGCUGCCCAACGAGAGUCUAAACGUCUUUUGAAUUCCGAGAAUCUCUCGUUAAUAAAAAGAAUUCUUCUGAUUAUCAAAGAGAAGUCUUCCCUCUGUUAUUCCGAAUCAAGUGUGACGUUUAAAAUAAUAUUUACAGAAAAAUGCCGCCGAAGAAAUCAAAGGAAAGUAUAAUUUUUCUUGUGAAUAUCGGUGUUAUUCGUCACGGUACUCAGAGCAAUUCACAAUUGUUAGAUAAAGCGAAAUUUAUUCUUAAACAUAUUAUUCAAAAGAAGAUAUUUCUGCGUCCAAAGGAUGAAAUAGGAGUGAUAUUAAUGGGAUCGGAUAAUAGUAAAAAUGACAGUAUCAUAGAAUUAGACAAUGUACAAGAAUUGUGUCGUAUACAAGUUGGAAAUUGGGAUUUGAUAGAAAGCAUCGAAAAAUUACAAACCACAAAUCAGAAUUGUUCUUGGAUGGAGGCAAUUUAUGCUGCAAUUGAAUAUAUCAAUCAUGAAUGCCUAGAUAAAUCUGAAAGAAAAAUAAUUCUGCUGUCUGAUUUCAAUGAGGAAGAGGAUAUUGUAAGUCAAUUCCAAAUGGACGAUAUUGUAAAAACAUUAAGUGAAGAGGAAAUUUCACUUAUGGCAAUCGGAGAAAGAGCAUUGGAUAAUACAGAUGAAGAUUCUCUAACAGCUAGUGAAACAUUACUUAUGAGUGUUUUGCAAAAGAUUGGUGGUCAAUAUCUCACUUUUGAACAUGCUAUGUCAGAUGUACGCUUUUAUAAACAACCAUCAACUAAACCGAACCCAUGGUCCUGUUUAAUGGAAUUGGGCGAUUUUUACAUACCUAUUGUUGGAAUUUCCAAAACGCCAACAGAAGUAAAGUUACCAAAAAUGAUACUGAUGGGUAAGACGAGUACACCUGAUAUGCCAGAUCAGGAAGUACCAAUUAAGAAUGUUGCACAAUGGACGGAUAACAAUAGGACUGUUCACACAAAAGAAGAUAUUAUCCGUGGUUAUGUAUAUGGUGGCAAACCUAUUCCGGUUUCGGAUGAAAAUAAGAAGGCAAUGACUCCUAAAACUAACGAAAAAUGUUAUAAGAUACAUGGUUUCACUGCAAGAGAAAACAUUCCUAUGGAAUACUGGUUGUCGGAUGGCACGUAUGUUAUUGUACCAGCCAGUGAAUCGGUAAGUGCACCUUUUUAUAGUCUGGUGCAAGCCAUGGUUGACAAGAAUGUAGUCGCUAUAGUAGAGAUGGUUCGCAGAGCAAACACUGAAACUAACAUGGUCGCAUUAUUUCCGAGUGUUGAUGUACCGAAUGAACCUUGGUGUCUUAUUGAGAUUGGCUUACCAUUUGAACGAGAUUACGGUGCAAUAGCGCAGAGACCUUUGAAAUUCGUGAUGAAGCAAUUGUCGAAAGAGCAAAACGAUGCUAUCGACGACUUGUUGACAUCUUUAGAAUUGCCCGAUGCUACUGACGAUGACGCAAUUGAUGUUAGCGAAAAAUAUCUACCGGGAUAUAUGCCGGACCCUGGAGCGCAACAUAUGUGGGAUAUGUUAUCAGCUCGCGCGCUUAAGCCGGACAAACCGUUGCCACCUAUAGCCGACGAUGUGAAAAAUCUUUUAGAGCCACCCGAGUUCGUGCGAGAAAAAUGCAAACCGGUUACAGAAAGGAUAAAAAAUUUGUUUUCCUUAGAGAAGAAGCAACCUCUUAAUAUUAGGAAACGUAAAAGGUUGGAGGAGAAAGAUAAUGAACAAUCUAAUAAAGAUGACUUAUCCAUGAUGCCAUCAGUCAAAAUAGAUGAAAAAGAUAUUACAAAAGAUAAUAAUGAUGAAAAUAUGGCUUCUUUAUCUAAUACAUGCGAUUUUGAUUUUGAUGCAAUUGGUGAUAUGUAGAAAACUACUGGCAGUAAUCAUCUUGAUCUUCACAUUGUGACUUUAUACGUUUUGAAUUAUGCAAAUAGUAGUGUUUAAUUUUCGGUAUCUUCUCGAAAGUGCCAAGAAUAACAAUGACGCUAUCGCCGAAUAAGGAAAAGAUGAAGCCGCCUGCCCACAUAACGCCUACCUUUUUCCCAUCCUUGAUUUACCGAAAAUUCAUUGACAUC